GUGAUCCUACGGGACGCAGCAGUAGGGAAUCUUCCACAAUGGGCGAAAGCCUGAUGGAGCAACGCCGCGUGGGUGAAGAAGGUCUUCGGAUCGUAAAACCCUGUUGUUAGAGAAGAAAGUGCGUGAGAGUAACUGUUCACGUUUCGACGGUAUCUAACCAGAAAGCCACGGCUAACUACGUGCCAGCAGCCGCGGUAAUACGUAGGUGGCAAGCGUUAUCCGGAUUUAUUAGGCGUAAAGGGAACGCAGGCGGUCUUUUAAGUCUGAUGUGAAAUCCUUCGGCUUAACCGGAUGAGUGCAUUGGG
This 305-nucleotide ribosomal RNA is filed under the name uncultured bacterium. RNAcentral describes it as "bacterial SSU rRNA". It matches the Rfam family "Bacterial small subunit ribosomal RNA", at positions 333 to 630 of the family's 1533-position model. The record is from RNAcentral.